RNAcentral lists this ribosomal RNA (328 nucleotides) under uncultured eukaryote. RNAcentral describes it as "partial 18S ribosomal RNA". It matches the Rfam family "Eukaryotic small subunit ribosomal RNA", at positions 1470 to 1796 of the family's 1831-position model. The record is from RNAcentral.
CCCUUAGAUGUCCUGGGCAGCACGCGCGUUACACUGAUGCAUUCAACGAGCUUAUAACCUUGGCCGAGAGGCCUGGGCAAUCUUGUUAACGUGCAUCGUGAUAGGGAUAGAUUAUUGAAAUUAUUAAUCUUGAACGAGGAAUUCCUAGUAAACGCAGAUCAUCAAUCUGCAUUGAUUACGUCCCUGCCCUUUGUACACACCGCCCGUCGCACCUACCGAUUGGAUGGUCCGGUGAAGCCUCGGGAUUGUGGUUCUUGCCGCUUUAUUGUGGCGUGACCGCGAGAACUUGUCUAAACCUUAUCAUCUAGAGGAAGGUGAAGUCGUAACA